This 668-nucleotide ribosomal RNA is filed under the name uncultured Bacteroidales bacterium. RNAcentral describes it as "bacterial SSU rRNA". It matches the Rfam family "Bacterial small subunit ribosomal RNA", at positions 68 to 723 of the family's 1533-position model. The record is from RNAcentral. Lineage: Bacteria; Pseudomonadati; Bacteroidota; Bacteroidia; Bacteroidales.
GGCAGCAUGGUCUUAGCUUGCUAAGGCUGAUGGCGACCGGCGCACGGGUGAGUAACACGUAUCCAACCUGCCGUCUACUCUUGGCCAGCCUUCUGAAAGGAAGAUUAAUCCAGGAUGGCAUCAUGAGUUCACAUGUCCGCAUGAUUAAAGGUAUUUUCCGGUAGACGAUGGGGAUGCGUUCCAUUAGAUAGUAGGCGGGGUAACGGCCCACCUAGUCAACGAUGGAUAGGGGUUCUGAGAGGAAGGUCCCCCACAUUGGAACUGAGACACGGUCCAAACUCCUACGGGAGGCAGCAGUGAGGAAUAUUGGUCAAUGGGCGAUGGCCUGAACCAGCCAAGUAGCGUGAAGGAUGACUGCCCUAUGGGUUGUAAACUUCUUUUAUAAAGGAAUAAAGUCGGGUAUGCAUACCCGUUUGCAUGUACUUUAUGAAUAAGGAUCGGCUAACUCCGUGCCAGCAGCCGCGGUAAUACGGAGGAUCCGAGCGUUAUCCGGAUUUAUUGGGUUUAAAGGGAGCGUAGAUGGAUGUUUAAGUCAGUUGUGAAAGUUUGCGGCUCAACCGUAAAAUUGCAGUUGAUACUGGAUGUCUUGAGUGCAGUUGAGGCAGGCGGAAUUCGUGGUGUAGCGGUGAAAUGCUUAGAUAUCACGAAGAACUCCGAUUGCGAAGGCA